This 98-nucleotide signal recognition particle RNA is filed under the name Bergeyella sp. Its description in RNAcentral is "signal recognition particle sRNA small type". It matches the Rfam family "Bacteroidales small SRP". Rfam says of the family: The non-coding component of the signal recognition particle in Bacteroides The record is from RNAcentral. Lineage: Bacteria; Pseudomonadati; Bacteroidota; Flavobacteriia; Flavobacteriales; Weeksellaceae.
CGGCAAGUCCUAAACAACCAGCUCCCGAAAAUCCUCCAGGGUGGGAACACAGCAAAGGUAAUUGGUUGUAGCGGUGUGAUUUAGGUAGCUUGCCGUUU